RNAcentral lists this transfer RNA (73 nucleotides) under Trichonephila inaurata madagascariensis. It matches the Rfam family "tRNA". Rfam says of the family: Transfer RNA (tRNA) molecules are approximately 80 nucleotides in length. Lineage: Eukaryota; Metazoa; Arthropoda; Arachnida; Araneae; Nephilidae. The record is from Rfam by way of RNAcentral.
GCCCUUGUAGCGCAAUGGAUAACGUGUUGGACUCUUCAUCCAAAGGUCGUGGGUUCGAAUCCCACCUGGGAUG